Molecule: ribosomal RNA, 893 nt
Filed under: uncultured archaeon
Lineage: Archaea
Description: bacterial SSU rRNA
Rfam family: Archaeal small subunit ribosomal RNA
Source: RNAcentral
CUGACUGCUAUCGGAUUGAUACUAAGCCAUGCGAGUCAUUGUAGCAAUACAAGGCAGACGGCUCAGUAACGCGUAGUCAACCUACCCUAUGGACGGGAAUAACCUCGGGAAACUGAGUAUAAAGCCCGAUAGAACACUAUACCUGGAAUGGUUUGUGUUCCAAAUGAUUUAUCGCCGUAGGAUGGGACUGCGGCCUAUCAGUUUGUUGGUGAGGUAAUGGCCCACCAAGACUAUUACAGGUACGGGCUCUGAGAGGAGUGGCCCGGAGAUGGGUACUGAGACACGGACCCAGGCCCUAUGGGGCGCAGCAGGCGAGAAAACUUUGCAAUGUGCGAAAGCACGACAAGGUUAAUCCGAGUGGUUUGUGCUAAACGAACCUUUUGUUAGUCAUAGAACCACUAAUGAAUAAGGGGUGGGCAAGUUCUGGUGUCAGCCGCCGCGGUAAAACCAGCACCUCAAGUGGUCAGGAUGAUUAUUGGGCCUAAAGCAUCCGUAGCCGGCUCUGUAAGUUUUCGGUUAAAUCUGUACGCUCAACGUACAGGCUGCCGGGAAUACUGCAGAGCUAGGGAGUGGGAGAGGUAGACGGUACUUGGUAGGAAGGGAUAAAAUCCUUUGAUCUAUUGAUGACCACCUGUGGCGAAGGCGGUCUACCAGAACACGUCCGACGGUGAGGGAUGAAAGCUGGGGGAGCAAACCGGAUUAGAUACCCGGGUAGUCCCAGCUGUAAACUAUGCAAACUCAGUGAUGCAUUGGCUUCUGGCCGAUGCAGUGCUGCAGGGAAGCCGUUAAGUUUGCCGCCUGGGAAGUACGUACGCAAGUAUGAAACUUAAAGGAAUUGGCGGGGGAGCACCACAAGGGGUGAAGCCUGCGGUUCAAUUGGAGUCAACGCCGGG